RNAcentral lists this Y RNA (102 nucleotides) under Propithecus coquereli (Coquerel's sifaka). RNAcentral describes it as "Y RNA (ENSPCOG00000005735.1)". It matches the Rfam family "Y RNA". Rfam says of the family: Y RNAs are components of the Ro ribonucleoprotein particle (Ro RNP), in association with Ro60 and La proteins. The Y RNAs and Ro60 and La proteins are well conserved, but the function of the Ro RNP is not known. Lineage: Eukaryota; Metazoa; Chordata; Mammalia; Primates; Indriidae. The record is from Rfam by way of RNAcentral.
GGCUGGUCCGAGUGCAGUGGUGUUUACAACUAAUUGGUCACAACCAGUUGCAGAUUCCUUUCUUCCCCCUCCACUCCCACUGCUUCACUUGACUAGCCUUAA